GGUGGCGAACGGGUGAGUAACACGUGGGUGAUCUGCCCUGCACUCUGGGAUAAGCCUGGGAAACUGGGUCUAAUACCGGAUAGGACCAUGCUUUAGUGUGUGUGGUGGAAAGUUUUUCGGUGUAGGAUGAGCCCGCGGCCUAUCAGCUUGUUGGUGGGGUAAUGGCCUACCAAGGCGGCGACGGGUAGCCGGACUGAGAGGUUGGUCGGCCACAUUGGGACUGAGAUACGGCCCAG
RNAcentral lists this ribosomal RNA (236 nucleotides) under uncultured Actinomycetales bacterium. RNAcentral's name for it is "partial 16S ribosomal RNA". It matches the Rfam family "Bacterial small subunit ribosomal RNA", at positions 94 to 334 of the family's 1533-position model. The record is from RNAcentral. Lineage: Bacteria; Bacillati; Actinomycetota; Actinomycetes; Actinomycetales.